AGCGAACGCUGGCGGCAGGCUUAACACAUGCAAGUCGAGCGGGCACUUCGGUGUCAGCGGCAGACGGGUGAGUAACACGUGGGAACGUACCCUUUGGUUCGGAAUAACGCUGGAAACUAGCGCUAAUACCGGAUACGCCCUUUUGGGGAAAGGCUUGCUGCCGAAGGAUCGGCCCGCGUCUGAUUAGCUAGUUGGUGGGGUAAUGGCCUACCAAGGCGACGAUCAGUAGCUGGUCUGAGAGGAUGAUCAGCCACACUGGGACUGAGACACGGCCCAGACUCCUACGGGAGGCAGCAGUGGGGAAUAUUGGACAAUGGGCGCAAGCCUGAUCCAGCCAUGCCGCGUGAGUGAUGAAGGCCUUAGGGUUGUAAAGCUCUUUUGUCCGGGACGAUAAUGACGGUACCGGAAGAAUAAGCCCCGGCUAACUUCGUG
RNAcentral lists this ribosomal RNA (432 nucleotides) under uncultured bacterium. RNAcentral's name for it is "partial 16S ribosomal RNA". It matches the Rfam family "Bacterial small subunit ribosomal RNA", at positions 29 to 507 of the family's 1533-position model. The record is from RNAcentral.